This 489-nucleotide small RNA is filed under the name Arabidopsis thaliana (thale cress). RNAcentral's name for it is "putative long intergenic non-coding RNA". Lineage: Eukaryota; Viridiplantae; Streptophyta; Magnoliopsida; Brassicales; Brassicaceae. The record is from RNAcentral.
CUAAAAUUCUGGUUAAGCUCAAGCUUUAGGCUUUCACACCAAUUACACAAGGGGAUUAUGACACACACGUGUACAAAGCUGGAAUUGAGGUUUUACGUUUGAAACGGAUCUUUGAUUGGAUCAUCUUUUUUUCUCUAUGACCGUUUGAAGAAGACCGUUUGAAGAACAAUUAUAACGUUCCAAGUCUCUCUCUCUGAUUUCUCUCGUUAUUUCGAAUCCCUAAAUUUUUAUUUUCGGCAAACAUCUGAAGAAGUUUAUGAUCACCGACGAUUGUUUUCUCCGGCGACUAUUCGACGAUCAGACAAUCGAUUCCCUAAUUAAGAUGGUUUUGAAAGAUCAUUAACGAUCGCGAGACUUUACGAUUGAGGGGAUUUUGUUUGGAUGGUCGUAGCAUCACCGACGGUGGAGGAUGGCGGUAGAUACGGAGGGCGGUGGAGAGCCGUGAGGGAUGAAGUUACGGAGGAAGCGGUGGUCGUGGCUGGUAAUCGU